Microcebus murinus (gray mouse lemur) is the source of this 616-nucleotide non-coding RNA. The record is from RefSeq and is a predicted model, not a curated record. Lineage: Eukaryota; Metazoa; Chordata; Mammalia; Primates; Cheirogaleidae.
UUAGUUAUUGUACAGUAUAAUAAAUAAAUGUCUACUUACAGAACAAAGGUCAGGAAGGUUUGCUCAUCGCCCAAUUUAAAAAUAAUUUAUAUUUCCGGUAGGCCACUUCCGGCCUAGCCAUGGCGGCUAACGCACUACCAACCCGUCGCAGUUGCUGCCGCUAGAGCUUGUGGACAAAUGUAUAGGAUCAAGAAUUCAUAUUGUUAUGAAGAGCGAUAAGGAAAUCGUUGGUACUCUUCUAGGAUUUGAUGACUUUGUCAAUAUGGUACUAGAAGAUGUCACUGAAUUUGAAAUCACACCAGAAGGAAGAAGAAUUACUAAAUUAGAUCAGAUUUGCUAAAUGGAAAUAAUAUAACAAUGCUGGUUCCUGGAGGAGAAGGACCUGAAGUAUGAAUGGGUUUCCUUGACUUAUGCUAGAUUCUGUUUUGUCUUAAAAUGACAAAAAAAUGGAUUUUUUUUUUUUACUUUUUAAUAUUUAGAUCCUAUAAAGCAGUUUCCCGUUAAAGGGAAAUACUUUGAAGAUGUAUACCCAUUUUGUAAGUUAAUCAUGAUUAUCUUGGAAAAAGAAGAAAAGAAUUUCUUCUUUGAAGACUAAAAUAAAGAUGUUUUUUGUUAA